RNAcentral lists this ribosomal RNA (420 nucleotides) under uncultured bacterium. RNAcentral describes it as "bacterial SSU rRNA". It matches the Rfam family "Bacterial small subunit ribosomal RNA", at positions 356 to 773 of the family's 1533-position model. The record is from RNAcentral.
GAGGAAUAUUGGUCAAUGGGCGCAAGCCUGAACCAGCCAUCCCGCGUGAAGGAAGAAUGCGCUAUGCGUUGUAAACUUCUUUUCCGGAGGAAUAAAAUCUUGUACGAGUACAGGACUGAAGGUACUCCGGGAAUAAGCAUCGGCUAACUCCGUGCCAGCAGCCGCGGUAAUACGGAGGAUGCAAGCGUUAUCCGGAUUUAUUGGGUUUAAAGGGUGCGUAGGCGGAUUAAUAAGUCAGCGGUGAAAACCUUCAGCUUAACUGGAGACUUGCCAUUGAUACUGUUAGUCUUGAGUAUGGUUAAGGUAGGCGGAAUGUGUAAUGUAGCGGUGAAAUGCUUAGAUAUUACACAGAACACCAAUUGCGAAGGCAGCUUACUGAGCCAUAACUGACGCUGAUGCACGAAAGCGUGGGGAGCGAAC